GAUGAACGCUGGCGGCGUGCCUAAUACAUGCAAGUCGAGCGAACAGACGAGGAGCUUGCUCCUCUGACGUUAGCGGCGGACGGGUGAGUAACACGUGGAUAACCUACCUAUAAGACUGGGAUAACUUCGGGAAACCGGAGCUAAUACCGGAUAAUAUAUUGAACCGCAUGGUUCAAUAGUGAAAGACGGUUUUGCUGUCACUUAUAGAUGGAUCCGCGCCGCAUUAGCUAGUUGGUAAGGUAACGGCUUACCAAGGCGACGAUGCGUAGCCGACCUGAGAGGGUGAUCGGCCACACUGGAACUGAGACACGGUCAAGACUCCUACGGGAGGCAGCAGUAGGGAAUCUUCCGCAAUGGGCGAAAGCUUGACGGAGCAACGCCGAGUGAGUGAUGAAGGUCUUCGGAUCGUAAAACUCUGUUAUUAGGGAAGAACAAAUGUGUAAGUAACUAUGCACGUAUUGACGGUACCUAAUCAGAAAGCCACGGCUAACUACGUG
RNAcentral lists this ribosomal RNA (497 nucleotides) under uncultured bacterium. RNAcentral's name for it is "partial 16S ribosomal RNA". It matches the Rfam family "Bacterial small subunit ribosomal RNA", at positions 28 to 507 of the family's 1533-position model. The record is from RNAcentral.